This 71-nucleotide transfer RNA is filed under the name bovine gut metagenome. It matches the Rfam family "tRNA". From Rfam's summary of the family: Transfer RNA (tRNA) molecules are approximately 80 nucleotides in length. Their secondary structure includes four short double-helical elements and three loops (D, anti-codon, and T loops). The record is from RNAcentral.
GCAAGGUAGCUCAGUUGGUCAGAGCACACGGUUCAUACCCGUGCGGUCGAAGGUUCAAAUCCAUCCCUUGC